GAGGGUAAAGCUCAGUGGUAGAGCGCGUGCUUAGCAUGCACAAGGUCCGGGGUUCAAUCCCCAGUGCCUCCA
This 72-nucleotide transfer RNA is filed under the name Camelus bactrianus (Bactrian camel). It matches the Rfam family "tRNA". From Rfam's summary of the family: Transfer RNA (tRNA) molecules are approximately 80 nucleotides in length. The record is from Rfam by way of RNAcentral. Lineage: Eukaryota; Metazoa; Chordata; Mammalia; Artiodactyla; Camelidae. RNAcentral also lists the same sequence under 1 other name.